UGGGGAAUUUUGGACAAUGGGCGAAAGCCUGAUCCAGCAAUGCCGCGUGUGUGAAGAAGGCCUUCGGGUUGUAAAGCACUUUUGUCCGGAAAGAAAUCCUUGGCUCUAAUACAGUCGGGGGAUGACGGUACCGGAAGAAUAAGCACCGGCUAACUACGUGCCAGCAGCCGCGGUAAUACGUAGGGUGCAAGCGUUAAUCGGAAUUACUGGGCGUAAAGCGUGCGCAGGCGGUUUGCUAAGACCGAUGUGAAAUCCCCGGGCUCAACCUGGGAACUGCAUUGGUGACUGGCAGGCUAGAGUAUGGCAGAGGGGGGUAGAAUUCCACGUGUAGCAGUGAAAUGCGUAGAGAUGUGGAGGAAUACCGAUGGCGAAGGCAGCCCCCUGGGCCAAUACUGACGCUCAUGCACGAAAGCGUGGGGAGCAAACAGGAUUAGAUACCCUGGUAGUCCACGCCCUAAACGAUGUCAACUAGUUGUUGGGGACUUCAUUUUCCUUAGUAACGUAGCUAACGCGUGAAGUUGACCGCCUGGGGAGUACGGUCGCAAGAUUAAAACUCAAAUGAAUUGACGGGGUCAUA
Molecule: ribosomal RNA, 577 nt
Filed under: uncultured bacterium
Lineage: Bacteria
Description: partial 16S ribosomal RNA
Rfam family: Bacterial small subunit ribosomal RNA
Source: RNAcentral